GGACUACCAGGGUAUCUAAUCCUGUUUGAUCCCCACGCUUUCGUGUAUGAGUGUCAAUAUUGGACCAGGUCGCCGCCUUCGCCGCCGGUGUUCCUCCUGAUAUCUACGUAUUUCACCACUACACCAGGAAUUCCACGACCCUCUUCCAUAUUCAAGUUUUGCAGUUUUAAAUGCACUUCCCGAGUUAAGCCCGGGGCUUUCACAUCUAACUUGCAAAGCCACCUGCACACGCUUUACGCCCAAUGAUUCCGAACAACGCUUGGACCCCCCGUCUUACCGCGGCGGCUGGCAC
RNAcentral lists this ribosomal RNA (292 nucleotides) under uncultured bacterium. Its description in RNAcentral is "partial 16S ribosomal RNA". The record is from RNAcentral.